UACGUAGGCAGCGAGCGUUGUUCGGAAUUACUGGGCGUAAAGAGUGUGUAGGCGGUGCUCUAAGUUCGGUGUGAAAUCUCCUGGCUCAACUGGGAGGGUGCGCCGGAAACUGGAGUGCUUGAGCGUGGGAGAGGAAAGCGGAAUUCCUGGUGUAGCGGUGAAAUGCGUAGAUAUCGGGAGGAACACCAGUGGCGAAGGCGGCUUCCUGGCCUGUUCUUGACGCUGGGGCGCGAAAGCUAGGGGAGCAAACGGG
RNAcentral lists this ribosomal RNA (253 nucleotides) under uncultured bacterium. RNAcentral's name for it is "partial 16S ribosomal RNA". It matches the Rfam family "Bacterial small subunit ribosomal RNA", at positions 524 to 776 of the family's 1533-position model. The record is from RNAcentral.